CCCUUCGGGGGUACUCGAGCGGCGAACGGGUGAGUAACACGUGAGCAACCUGCCCUUGACUUCGGGAUAAGCCUGGGAAACUGGGUCUAAUACCGGAUACGACCACCGUGGGCAUCUGUGGUGGUGGAAAGUUUUUCGGUUGGGGAUGGGCUCGCGGCCUAUCAGCUUGUUGGUGGGGUGAUGGCCUACCAAGGCUUCGACGGGUAACCGGCCUGAGAGGGCGACCGGUCACACUGGGACUGAAACACGGCCCAGACUCCUACGGGAGGCAGCAGUGGGGAAUAUUGCGCAAUGGGCGGAAGCCUGACGCAACGACCCCCCGUGGGGGAUGACGGCCUUCGGGUUGUAAACCUCUUUCAGCAGGGACAAAGCUAACGUGACGGUACCUGUAGAAGAAGCGCCGGCUAACUACGUGCCAGCAGCCGCGGUAAUACGUAGGGCGCAAGCGUUGUCCGGAAUUAUUGGGCGUAAAGAGCUCGUAGGCGGUUUGUCGCGUCUGUCGUGAAAGCCCACGGCUUAACCGUGGGUCUGCGGUGGAUACGGGCAGACUAGAGGCAGGUAGGGGAGAAUGGAAUUCCCGGUGUAGCGGUGAAAUGCGCAGAUAUCGGGAGGAACACCGGUGGCGAAGGCGGUUCUCUGGGCCUGUACUGACGCUGAGGAGCGAAAGCGUGGGGAGCGAACAGGAUUAGAUACCCUGGUAGUCCACGCCGUAAACGUUGGGCGCUAGGUGUGGGGUUCUUCCACGGAUUCCGCGCCGUAGCUAACGCAUUAAGCGCCCCGCCUGGGGAGUACGGCCGCAAGGCUAAAACUCAAAGGAAUUGACGGGGGCCCGCACAAGCGGCGGAGCAUGUUGCUUAAUUCGACGCAACGCGAAGAACCUUACCAAGGUUUGACAUCACUCGAAAACUCGCAGAGAUGCGGGGUCCUUUUGGGCGGGUGACAGGUGGUGCAUGGCGUCGUCAGCUCGUGUCGUGAGAUGUUGGGUUAAGUCCCGCAACGAGCGCAACCCUCGUUCCAUGUUGCCAGCAACGCCUUCGGGUGGUUGGGGACUCAUGGGAGACCGCCGGGGUCAACUCGGAGGAAGGUGGGGAUGACGUCAAGUCAUCAUGCCCCUUAUGUCUUGGGCUGCAAACAUGCUACAAUGGCCGGUACAGAGGGCUGCGAUACCGUGAGGUGGAGCGAAUCCCUUAAAGCC
Molecule: ribosomal RNA, 1195 nt
Filed under: Actinomadura sp.
Lineage: Bacteria; Bacillati; Actinomycetota; Actinomycetes; Streptosporangiales; Thermomonosporaceae
Description: bacterial SSU rRNA
Rfam family: Bacterial small subunit ribosomal RNA
Source: RNAcentral